Molecule: long non-coding RNA, 232 nt
Organism: Spea bombifrons (plains spadefoot toad)
Lineage: Eukaryota; Metazoa; Chordata; Amphibia; Anura; Pelobatidae
Exons: 2
Source: RefSeq, a predicted model, not a curated record
GUGUAGGUGGUGGGGGCUUGUUCUAUGCCGCCACGCAGUGGUGGGUCGUGGGGAUGAUAGUUGGAAGCCGCUGCUCUUAGGAGAGUUGGUUCUGUUCGAGUCACCAUGUGACUACUGUAUGUACUUUUUAAAUACAGAAAAGGGAAUAUUGAAAGAAACUGCUUGUCUUAAUACUGUAGGAUAAUAUGUAUUGUUCUGCUAAUGUUGGCAAAAUAAACCUGGCUUUUUUUUC